GCUCCCGACAGAAAAGAAAACGGCAAUGGAAAGGAAACAAUACAGAACUAAAUUUCAAAAAUAUUUACCUACUUGGUAAAUCUUUUUGCUGAAAUUUCGUUUUACGUGUGGGUGAAUUGAAAAAUUUGUACCUUGCCUUAGUCUGUUUGUAUAAACAUAAACAGAUAUCAUCGUGUUUAUGGUUAAAGACGUUAUUUUAGAAUCAUGAAGAUUGGAUUUAAGAAUGGACGAGUUCAGCGAAGAACUUCUAAUUAAUAAAGUCCAAGCUCAUGCUAUUUAGUAUGAUAUUGGUCUGAAGGACGACAGAAACCAGCCAAAAAAAGAAAAAGCAUGGGCUGAGAUGGCAAAUAGUUUUUCGAGAGAGGAAGUUGAUGGACAGCAGUGUCUGUGAAAGAAAGAAAAAUGUGUGCUACGCCAAAGUGACGAAAUGACAAUUUAUUGCUUCAUGUAUUAGAGAGAGACAGAGAUGUUCGCCAGAAUCAUGGGAAGGCUCUCUGACCGGAGAAUCACCGAAUAAUAGUUUACCAUCAAUGAAAUGAUGUCAUUUUUGCCCACAAGAUCAUAGUUAAUGUUUUCGAUACCAAUGGCAAGGUAUGUGUUUGGAAAAACAGAAAUUUACAGUGUCAGAGAAUAUUCAGAGUUAAAGUAAUGGCAAGAAUCAAUGGCACUAUAAAGAAAGAAGACUAUAUCUAUAUUCUAAAAGAAAAUCUGCUUCAAUGUGGAGAUAAAUGGUCAUCAGAGAUAUUUUAAGGUUUUUCAAGACAAUGACCAAAUGCACAAAUCUUUCACUGUGUAAAAUUACCUGUUGUGCAACUGACGCAAAGUAAAUAAAACUCCUCCCACGGCUCAGACCACAACUAGUGGGAAAUCUGUGGUUUAAAUUGUAAAUAACAAUUAAAAAUUAAUGAAUCGAUUUUCAGGUUGAUGACACCAGACAAAUCAUUUCAAACAUAGCAAAAUGGUUUUUAGAGAGGUCAUACCAAGAAGGGAAUUGCUACAAAGUACUAGUAUGGUACUUAUUCUAAGAAAGUGUUUUUUAUUUGGGUAUUUGAGUGGUUGAAUUUAGUGCUACUCAUAAAACAAAUUUUUUUUGUUAACAUUCAAGAAGAGUCCUUUGUUAAGCAUUAUGCAUAGAAAGAUAUACAGUAUUUUAUUUUAAGUAUAAUGUUUUGUUUGUAACUGGCACAAUUUAUUAAACCAUAUAAACUAUUCACGUAUUUAUUUAUUUCUGACAUGCCCAAUAACCAUUUAGAAAAACUUUUAUAGUAGGCCCAAC
Molecule: long non-coding RNA, 1276 nt
Organism: Bacillus rossius redtenbacheri
Lineage: Eukaryota; Metazoa; Arthropoda; Insecta; Phasmatodea; Bacillidae
Exons: 3
Source: RefSeq, a predicted model, not a curated record